This 253-nucleotide ribosomal RNA is filed under the name uncultured bacterium. RNAcentral describes it as "partial 16S ribosomal RNA". It matches the Rfam family "Bacterial small subunit ribosomal RNA", at positions 524 to 776 of the family's 1533-position model. The record is from RNAcentral.
UACGGAGGGGGCUAGCGUUGUUCGGAAUUACUGGGCGUAAAGCGCACGUAGGCGGCUUUGUAAGUUAGAGGUGAAAGCCCAGGGCUUAACCCUGGAAUUGCCUUUAAGACUGCAUCGCUAGAAUCGUGGAGAGGUGAGUGGAAUUCCGAGUGUAGAGGUGAAAUUCGUAGAGAUCUGGAGGAACACCAGUGGCGAAGGCGACUAUCUGGCUGACAACUGACGCUGAGACUCGAAAGCAUGGGGAGCAAACAGG